GAUGAACGCUGGCGGCGUGCCUAAUACAUGCAAGUCGAGCGAACAGACGAGGAGCUUGCUACUCUGACGAUUGCGGCGGACGUGUGUGUAACACGUGGAUAACCUACCUAUAAGACUGGGAUAACUUCGGGAAACCGGAGCUAAUGCCGGAUAAUAUAUUGAUCCGCAUGGUUCAAUAGUGAAAGACGGUUUUGCUGUCACUACUAGAUGGAUCCGCGCCGCAUUAUCUAGUUGGUAAGGUAACGGCUUACCAAGGCGACGAGGCGUAGCCGAACUAAGAGGAUGAUCGGCAACACGGGAGCGGAGACACGGACCAGACGCCUAAGGGAGGCACCAGUAGGGAAUCUUCCGCAGUGGGCGGAAGACUGACGGAGAAACGCGACGUGAGUGAUAAAGGUCGUCGGAGCGUGAAGCACUGUUACUAGUGAAGAGCAAAUGUCUAAGUUACUGGGCACAUCUUGACGGUACCUUAUCAGAAAGCCACGGCUAACUACGUG
Molecule: ribosomal RNA, 497 nt
Filed under: uncultured bacterium
Lineage: Bacteria
Description: partial 16S ribosomal RNA
Rfam family: Bacterial small subunit ribosomal RNA
Source: RNAcentral